This 799-nucleotide ribosomal RNA is filed under the name uncultured Glomeromycotina. RNAcentral's name for it is "SSU rRNA". It matches the Rfam family "Eukaryotic small subunit ribosomal RNA", at positions 314 to 1114 of the family's 1831-position model. Lineage: Eukaryota; Fungi; Glomeromycota. The record is from RNAcentral.
AUCAACUUUCGAUGGUAGGAUAGAGGCCUACCAUGGUGGUAACGGGUAACGGGGUGUUAGGGCACGACACCGGAGAGGGAGCCUGAGAAACGGCUACCACAUCCAAGGAUGGCAGCAGGCGCGCAAAUUACCCAAUCCCGACACGGGGAGGUAGUGACAAUAAAUAACAAUACGGGGUUCUUUAGGAUCUCGUAAUUGGAAUGAGUACAAUUUAAAUCUCUUAACGAGGAACAAUUGGAGGGCAAGUCUGGUGCCAGCAGCCGCGGUAAUUCCAGCUCCAAUAGCGUAUAUUAAAGUUGUUGCAGUUAAAAAGCUCGUAGUUGAAUUUCGGGGUUAGUAGGCUGGUCGUGCCACUGGUAUGUACUGGUCUUACUGACUUCUCCUUUCUGAAGAACUGUAAUGCCAUUAAUUUGGUGUUGCAGGGAAACAGGACUGUUACUUUGAAAAAAUUAGAGUGUUUAAAGCAGGCUAACGCUUGAAUACAUUAGCAUGGAAUAAUGAAAUAGGACGUUCGAUCCUAUUUUGUUGGUUUCUAGGGUUGACGUAAUGAUUAAUAGGGAUAGUUGGGGGCAUUAGUAUUCAAUUGUCAGAGGUGAAAUUCUUGGAUUUAUUGAAGACUAACUACUGCGAAAGCAUUUGCCAAGGAUGUUUUCAUUAAUCAAGAACGAAAGUUAGGGGAUCGAAGACGAUCAGAUACCGUCGUAGUCUUAACCAUAAACUAUGCCGACUAGGGAUCGGAUGAUGUUAAUUUUUUAAUGACUCAUUCGGCGCCUUACGGGAAACCAAAGUGUUUGGGUUC